Long non-coding RNA from Hirundo rustica (Barn swallow), 1393 nucleotides. RefSeq lists it as uncharacterized. Lineage: Eukaryota; Metazoa; Chordata; Aves; Passeriformes; Hirundinidae. The record is from RefSeq and is a predicted model, not a curated record. The transcript is spliced from 3 exons.
GAACCCAGUGCCUACCAAAGCCACAAGCACAAUAAAAGAGCUCUCCUGGUCCUGCAUGUCUCUGCCCUACAUGUUUCAAAGGAGGAAUUAAAAUGACUGUGGUGCACAAAGCUUUCCUCAGCAACGUUGCUCAUCCCACAUGCAAUUAUUUAUUUAUGUAUGUAUGGUUUCCCCCGAAUACCUCCCUUAGAACAUUUGAGUUAUCAGUUCUGCAAAUCAAUAAAACACAUCUGAUAUAAGGGGUCUAUCACUUCUGGGACCUGAAUAAAGAUGAGCUUGAGAAUUUUACUCUUUGAAUCAAAUAGUGAAUAUCCAACAGUUCCCGGGGCUGAAGGUGGUGGCAGUCCAAGCAGGAAAACCUUGGAUUUUCACUGCCAAAACCAGCCUAUCACUGGGAAAACAGAAAGUUCAUUCCUAGUUUGUGCCCAGAUUCCGUAAGACACAAGAUUCUGCCUUCUAUUUGAUUUCAAAAUAUAAAACCAGGUGACAGGACUGACGUGGCUGAUAAUACCUGUUACCACUCUUCAGCACUGGACAGAAACCCCAAAGUGAGACCUUUUUCACAUCACCUUCAAGGAAUCACCUGGCUCAGUGAAAAAAAAAAACAAACACCUCAUCUCUCACUCUGGCUUUCAUCAAGUAGUGGAUCGUUGCUCUAAUGACACAAGCAGUUUGCUCAGUCUGGAUCCAUCAUGUGUAAGGGAUUAGUCCUAUCAAACUGUACUGUUUUAUGCAUUUUGACAGACAAUACCCAGCUAAUUUAAACACAAUGUUUGAGUAAAUAAGUACAAAAUAUUUCCCUGCUUUCUUGUUAGUUGAAUUUUAAACCAAGAGGCUACCUUAUUAUCUCACCACUGGAUCUGUCAAGUUACCAGAUAUCUGCAUUUUACAAUGAUAAAUGUAUCAGCAGGAGGUUAUUUUGACCCUUACCAUCUUUUCAGAGAUAUCAGUUUAACACUAGCAUGCAUAAGGAGUUUUAUAGGUCCCACACUGUAUAUGUAACAAAGGGGCUUUAUAUGAGUUUGGUAUAAAUCAUGUUUCUUCUGUCCAUUUAUACUGUUUGUAAUUAAGGGCCUCAUUAAUGUCGCAGCAUAUGUUGUUUAGGAUGCAUAAGCAGGAGUACUGAAAUGUGUUAGAAUCCAAUUUAAGGCUCAGGGCUUCAAGCUUGAGGAAUUUUCACCAGCAUUGAUGGGAGUCACACAUAUGAAAGCGUUCACUGAGUUACAAAAUUCGUAUUCCUUACACAAUGCUAACAGUAAUUUUUAAGAACUAUCUCUAAUUUCCGUCCAACCUAGCCACAAUGCACUAAACACAAUCCCUCAGCACAAUGCAAUAAUUGUAGAUAAAGUCCUUCUGAAAACAACAUGAUAAUAAAUAUUUUAAAGAUUGAAAA